UAGGGAAUCUUGCGCAAUGGGCGAAAGCCUGACGCAGCCAUGCCGCGUGAAUGAUGAAGGUCUUAGGAUUGUAAAAUUCUUUCACCGGGGAAGAUAAUGACGGUACCCGGAGAAGAAGCCCCGGCUAACUUCGUGCCAGCAGCCGCGGUAAUACGAAGGGGGCUAGCGUUGCUCGGAAUUACUGGGCGUAAAGGGCGCGUAGGCGGAUAUUUAAGUUAGAGGUGAAAGCCCAGGGCUCAACCCUGGAAUAGCCUUUAAUACUGGAUAUCUUGAGUUCGGGAGAGGUGAGUGGAACUCCGAGUGUAGAGGUGAAAUUCGUAGAUAUUCGGAAGAACACCAGUGGCGAAGGCGACUCACUGGCCCGAUACUGACGCUGAGGCGCGAAAGCGUGGGGAGCAAACAG
RNAcentral lists this ribosomal RNA (403 nucleotides) under uncultured bacterium. RNAcentral's name for it is "bacterial SSU rRNA". It matches the Rfam family "Bacterial small subunit ribosomal RNA", at positions 355 to 775 of the family's 1533-position model. The record is from RNAcentral.